Molecule: ribosomal RNA, 253 nt
Filed under: uncultured bacterium
Lineage: Bacteria
Description: partial 16S ribosomal RNA
Rfam family: Bacterial small subunit ribosomal RNA
Source: RNAcentral
UACAGAGGGGGCAAGCGUUGUUCGGAAUUACUGGGCGUAAAGGGCGCGUAGGCGGCCUGCUAAGUCGAACGUGAAAUCCCUGGGCUCAACCCAGGAACUGCGUCCGAUACUGGUUGGCUUGAAUCCGGGAGAGGGACGUGGAAUUCCAGGUGUAGCGGUGAAAUGCGUAGAUAUCUGGAGGAACACCGGUGGCGAAGGCGGCAUCCUGGACCGACACUGACGCUGAGGAGCGAAAGCCAGGGGAGCAAACGGG